AUUCUAUUAUCUAUUUUUCUUUAUUCUCUUAGUAUUCUUUGUUGAAGAAGCAGCAAUGCACUACUGGGAGCUAACUGAACGAAUGGAGUGAGCCAGUAACAUCAGACAUAUAUCUGCAGCCACCAAUCAGCAGCUGUUGAGGCUCAGGCUACCUAGACUUCAAUGGAGCGUGCUUUACGGACGAAAACCUCACUUAACGCUUGUGCGUUAUUCCGACACCGUGUUAGAGCUACAGCACUAAACCCAAAGAACUGGAAAUGGACCCUGCUGACUUCUCAAGGCGAACCCUGCUACAUAUGUGCCCCUAAUUGGCAUCAACAGAUAAAUGCAAAACAAUGCUGUUGAUACUAAUAUAACGACUGGGCUAUCUUCUUCUGCAGCAAGCCCGGAUUGGCUCCUUUCAAUUAGGGAACUAGUGGGUGGAGUUGUUUUUUUGAAAAACAAUUGAAGCAAGCAAUGUUGUUUAAAAAAUGUUUAGACUUGGCUAGUAUGUUAUUUUAUAGCAAAACAAUAUGUCUGUUCAUGCAUCGCUUGUAAUUAUAAGGUGUUUAGUGUCCUUUUAAAUACAUUGAAGCAAUGUGUGUACUGUACCUGAAUGAAGGAAUUAGUUUAUUAAACAAGGAAAUGCCCUGCAGUGAUGUGUGUAAUAUACAGUGCAGUACUCAUUUUGUAGCAUUGUAUAUAAUACACAGGGGGUAUAUAGCAAUACUUUAAAGCAUGCAUCCAAUAAAGAGGCAUUAGAUAGACGCAAAUGAUAGAGGAAUGAUCUGCAGAAUUGUCUGUGUGUGUAAUAAACAGUGAUACUUUACUACAAGUUAAAGGGACAAACUACUCCAGAAUUGUUAAUGUUUAAUAGAAUAGAUAAUCCCUUUAUUACCCAUUCUCUAGUUUUGCAUA
Long non-coding RNA from Bombina bombina (fire-bellied toad), 897 nucleotides. RefSeq lists it as uncharacterized. Lineage: Eukaryota; Metazoa; Chordata; Amphibia; Anura; Bombinatoridae. The transcript is spliced from 3 exons. The record is from RefSeq and is a predicted model, not a curated record.